RNAcentral lists this ribosomal RNA (895 nucleotides) under uncultured fungus. RNAcentral describes it as "eukaryotic LSU rRNA". The stretch from base 646 to 895 matches the Rfam family "Eukaryotic large subunit ribosomal RNA", at positions 1 to 245 of the family's 3401-position model. The record is from RNAcentral. Lineage: Eukaryota; Fungi.
GGAAGGAUCAUUAUCGUACAACGGAGGUGCGAAGGCUGUCGCUGACCCUUUAAAGGUCGUGCACGCCGGAGUGCUCUCCUUUAUACAAUCCACCCUUUCACCCAUUUGUGCAUCACCGCGUGAGUCCCCUCGAAAAGGGGCUUGCGUUUUUCCACACACAAAACUUUGAAGCGGUGUAGAAUGUUCUUUUAUGUUUUGCGGUUACAUGCAAUCAAUACAACUUUCAACAACGGAUCUCUUGGCUCUCGCAUCGAUGAAGAACGCAGCGAAAUGCGAUACGUAAUGUGAAUUGCAGAAUUCAGUGAAUCAUCGAAUCUUUGAACGCACCUUGCGCCCCUUGGCAUUCCGAGGGGCACACCCGUUUGAGUGUCGUGAAAUCCUCAAAACCCUUCUUCUUUUAGAAAAGGAUUUUGGACUUGGAGGGUCAAUGCUUGCUUUUGCUUUUAUUGAUAAAAGCGAGCUCCUCUCAAAUGGAUUAGUGGGGUCCUGCUUUGCAGAUCCUUGACGUGAUAAGACAUUUCUACGUUUUGGACUCGGCAACCGUACCCUGCUUCUAACCGUCCCGUUCGUUGUGGACGACGAUGGUGCUCUGGUCAAAACCACCGACAUCGGUGGGGAUGGCUGGACCCACAAAAAGAAAGACCUUGACCUCAAAUCGGGUGAGACUACCCGCCGAACUUAAGCAUAUCAAUAAGCGGAGGAAAAGAAACUAACAAGGAUUCCCCUAGUAACUGCGAGUGAAGCGGGAAAAGCUCAAAUUUAAAUCUGGUGGUCUUUGACCACCCGAGUUGUAAUUUAGAGAAGCGACUUCCGCGCUGGACCGUGCACAAGUCUCCUGGAAUGGAGCGUCAUAGAGGGUGAGAAUCCCGUCUUUGGCACGGAUGCACCAGGCUUU